UCGAUCUUACGAUUGUGCGCGGUGGCUCUGUAAUUGAGGUGGCCCGUAAUUGGGGCUCUCUAUCUACCGAUUAUAUGACAGCUCGGGAGGAUGCAGCACGAGUUGCCAUCCAGCGGAUGAAGGAGGAACUUGGUUUGCAGAUAAAGGAUGCAAACUAUGAUGAUUUCAUCUUAUAUAAGAACUUGUACGAUGCUGUUGCGCUCCAGAAUAGUGAUUUUGUUGGGCAGCUCACAGGCCUUAGGUCCGAGCACAACCUUCUUAAAGAUUCCUAUGCAACUGUGGUGUCUGAAAAAGCUGACGCUAUAAAUGAACAGAUUAGAUUGCGUCAUGAACUCGAUGAUUGUUAUGCUACAAUCAAC
RNAcentral lists this long non-coding RNA (359 nucleotides) under Ananas comosus (pineapple). RNAcentral describes it as "long non-coding RNA (ACOM_LNC024504)". The record is from RNAcentral. Lineage: Eukaryota; Viridiplantae; Streptophyta; Magnoliopsida; Poales; Bromeliaceae.